This 379-nucleotide ribosomal RNA is filed under the name uncultured eukaryote. Its description in RNAcentral is "SSU rRNA". It matches the Rfam family "Eukaryotic small subunit ribosomal RNA", at positions 587 to 972 of the family's 1831-position model. The record is from RNAcentral.
AGCUCCAAUAGCGUAUAUUAAAGUUGUUGCGGUUAAAAAGCUCGUAGUUGGAUUUCUGGUGGAGACAACCGGUCCGGCUUAAGGCCGUGUAUCUGGUCUGGCUCCGUCAUCCGGAAGUUUAAGGUGCGUCGCUUCACUGCGAUGUCCGUAAGCUUCCCUUUUACUUUGAGGAAAUUAGAGUGUUCACAGCAGGCAAUCGCCGUGAAUACGUUAGCAUGGAAUAAUCAUAUAGGACUUCGGCCCUAUUUUGUUGGUUUCUAGAGCUGAAGUAAUGAUUAAUAGGAACAAUUGGGGGCAUUCGUAUUAUGGCGUCAGAGGUGGAAUUCUUGGAUUGCCGUACGACGAACUACUGCGAAAGCAUUUGCCAAGGAUGUUUUCA